AUACAUAGGUUAACGAGGCGAACCGGGGGAACUGAAACAUCUAAGUACCCCGAGGAAAAGAAAUCAACCGAGAUUCCCCCAGUAGCGGCGAGCGAACGGGGAGCAGCCCGGAGUCUGAAUCAGCUUGUGUGUUAGUGGAACGGUCUGGAAAGUCCGACGGUACAGGGUGAUAGUCCCGUACACGAAAGCACACAUGCUGUGAACUCGAAGAGUAGGGCGGGACACGUGGUAUCCUGUCUGAAUAUGGGGGGACCAUCCUCCAAGGCUAAAUACUCCUGACUGACCGAUAGUGAACCAGUACCGUGAGGGAAAGGCGAAAAGAACCCCGGCGAGGGGAGUGAAAAAGAACCUGAAACCGUGUACGUACAAGCAGUGGGAGCCUCUUUAUG
Molecule: ribosomal RNA, 389 nt
Filed under: Enterobacter hormaechei subsp. steigerwaltii
Lineage: Bacteria; Pseudomonadati; Pseudomonadota; Gammaproteobacteria; Enterobacterales; Enterobacteriaceae
Description: partial 23S ribosomal RNA
Rfam family: Bacterial large subunit ribosomal RNA
Source: RNAcentral